UGAAUAUCAAAAAAACAGUAAAGCAUUACAGCAGUGAGAGUAGCAGUGGUACGUCUAGUGGAAAAUGGGACGCGGACUGAUGCCCAGAGCCAGAUGGAGAAAACCACCAUCGGGAUCUUUGUAAUCAAACAUGAGGGUGCCAAUGCCUCCACUAGAAGAUGUAGACAUUAUAGUUGAAUCACUAACAAUGUAACGAAACUAAACAUGCUGUGUUUAGCAGAGAUAUUUUUCUGUUCAUUGCAUUUCUAUUUUACUAAUAAAUGUCCCUGAUGGAUUGAUGAGAAUGGAGACAAAGGUUGCUGCUAAAUAAAUGCAGAUUUGUUUUGAA
Molecule: long non-coding RNA, 328 nt
Organism: Alosa sapidissima (American shad)
Lineage: Eukaryota; Metazoa; Chordata; Actinopteri; Clupeiformes; Clupeidae
Exons: 2
Source: RefSeq, a predicted model, not a curated record